This 309-nucleotide unclassified non-coding RNA is filed under the name uncultured Basidiomycota. RNAcentral's name for it is "sequence contains ITS1". The stretch from base 1 to 104 matches the Rfam family "5.8S ribosomal RNA", at positions 50 to 154 of the family's 154-position model. The record is from RNAcentral. Lineage: Eukaryota; Fungi; Basidiomycota.
GAAAUGUGAUACGUAAUGUGAAUUGCAGACCCAGUGAAUCAUCGAAUCUUUGAACGCAUCUUGCGCUCCGUGGAAUUCCGCGGAGCAUGUCUGUCUGAGUGUCGCGACUCCUCGCCCCCACUGCCCAGUCCAGUGGCCGCGGACCGUGGUCGCUGCCGGAACCCCCGGCUCGGCUGAAAUCAAUGAGGCGGCCCCCGCGCGCAGCUUCAUCCAGUGGUAACUCACAUACCUGGAGACGCCGUGGAUGCAGCCCGAAAACACCCAUCAUCUAUCGACCUCAGAUCAGGCAGGACUACCCGCUGAACUUAA